CCUACGGGAGGCAGCAGUGGGGAAUUUUCCGCAAUGGGCGAAAGCCUGACGGAGCAGUACCGCGUGAGGGAAGACGGCCUAUGGGUUGUAAACCUCUUUUUUCAGGGAGGAAUCAAUGACGUGUACCUGAAGAAUAAGCAUCGGCUAACUCCGUGCCAGCAGCCGCGGUAAGACGGAGGAUGCAAGUGUUAUCCGGAAUCACUGGGCGUAAAGCGUCUGUAGGUGGUUAAACAAGUCAACUGUUAAAUCUUGAGGCUUAACUUCAAAAUCGCAGUCGAAACUGUUUGACUAGAGUAUAGUAGGGGUAAAGGGAAUUUCCAGUGGAGCGGUGAAAUGCGUAGAUAUUGGAAAGAACACCGAUGGCGAAGGCACUUUACUGGGCUAUUACUGACACUCAGAGACGAAAGCUAGGGUAGCAAAUGGGAUUAGAUACCCCAGUAGUCCUAGCCGUAAACAAUGGAUACUAGAUGUUGGGCAGAUCGACCUGUUCAGUAUUAAAGCUAACGCGUUAAGUAUCCCGCCUGGGAAGUAUGCGCGCAAGCGUGAAACUCAAAGGAAUUGACGG
This 565-nucleotide ribosomal RNA is filed under the name uncultured bacterium. RNAcentral's name for it is "bacterial SSU rRNA". It matches the Rfam family "Bacterial small subunit ribosomal RNA", at positions 338 to 916 of the family's 1533-position model. The record is from RNAcentral.